UUUUUUUUUUUUUUUUUUAAGGGCUGCACCUGCAGCAUAUGGAGGUUCCCAGGCUAGGGGUCAAAUCUGAGCUAUAGCCACUGGCCUGCACCACAGCCACAGCAAUGCCAGAUCCGAGCUGCAGCUGUGAUCUACAUCACAGCUCACAGCAAUCCCAGACCCACUGAACGAGGCCAGGGAUCAAACCUGCAUCUUAAUGGACAUUAGUCAGAUUCAUUUCCACUGAGUCAUGAUGGAAACUCCUGUCAUUGUGGUUUUGACUUGCAUUCAUCUAAUGACUAAUGAUGUUGAGGGUCUUUUCAUGUGCUCAUUGGCCAUGGAGAAAUGUCUAUUCAAAUCUGUUACCCAUUUGCUUUGUUUUGUUUUGUUUUAAUAGACUUUAUUUUUAUUUUUUAUUUUUUGCUUUUUAGGGCUGUACCCAUGGCACAUGGAGGUUCUCAACCUAGGGGCUGAAUUGGAGCUACAUUUGCCAGCCUAUGCCACAGCCAUAGCAACACCAGAUCUGAGCCAUGUCUGUGACCUAUACCACAGCUCAUGGCAACGCCAGAUCCUUAACCCACUGAGUGAGGCCAGGGAUCGAACCCGAAACCUCAUGGUUCCUAGUCGGAUUUCGUUUCUGCUGUGCCACGGUGGGAGCUCCUUUAUAGACUUUAUUUUUAGAGCAGUUUUAGUUCACAGCAAAAUUAAGAGGAAGGUAUAGGGAUUUCUCUUAUAUCUCCUGCCCGGCAGCCUCCUCAGUUAUCAACAUCCCUUGCCAGAGUGUUACAAUUUUUUUUUUUUUUUGUCUUUUUGCCAUUUCUUGGGUCGCUCCUGUGGCAUAUGGAGGUUCCCAGGCUAGGGGUCCAAUCGGAGCUGUAGCCACCGGCCUACGCCAGAGCCACAGCAAUGCGGGGUCCAAGCCGUGUCUGCGACCUACACCACAGCUCAUGGCAACGCCGGAUCCUUAACCCACUGAGCGAGGCCAGGGAUCGAACCCGAAACCUCAUGGUUCCUAGUCGGAUUCAUUAACCACUGAGCCAGGACGGGAACUCCAGCGUGUUACAAUUGAUGAAACAACAUUGCCCCAUCAUCAGCCAGGGUACAUAGUUUACAUUAGAAUUCACUCAUGCUGUGUUUGGACAAUUGUAUAAUGACACACAUCCAUCCGUAUAGUAUCACACAGAGUAAUUUCACUGCCCUAAAAAUCCUCUGUGUUUCACAUAUUCACCCCCUCCAUCCCCCUAACCUUUGCCCAUUUUUUACUUGGCUUAUGUGUCUUUUUGUUGUAGACUUGUAACAGUUUUUAUACAGCCUAGAGACUAGUCACUUAUCAAUUAUAUGAUUUAUAAAUGUUUCUAUUUUGUGGGCACAUAUAGGUUUUCAUUUCCCCUGGGCAAAUAUCAGUGGGAUUGCUGAGUAAUAUGUAAAGUGCACGUUUAACUUUACAAAAAACUGCCAACCCAUUUUCCAGAGUGGCUGUACCAUUUUUUUUUUUAGGGCCACACCUGUGGCACAUGGAAGUUCUAGGCUAUGGGUCAAAUUGGAGCUGUGGCUGCCAGCCUGCAUCACAACCACAGCAAUGCCAGAUCCAAACCACAUCUGUGACCUACACCAACAGCUUGUGGCAACGCUGGAUAAUUAACUAAGUGAGGCUAGGGAUCUAACCAGCAUCCUCAUGGAUACUAGUUGGGUUCUGAACCCACUGAACAACAACGGAUCUCCUCAUAGUCACAUUUUAUAAGAUGAUGUCACAUGCUUGAGCAGAGGAUGGAAGCUGAGACAGGGACCAGAGGAGCCUGGUGGGAGGAAUGCAAUGGUCCAGGCCAGGGAUAGUGGGGAUGAGGGAAGAGGAAGAUUCACAAGUGGUUCAGGGGGCCAGGGUAUGGAGCUGGAAGUAGCUGAGCAGGAGAAAAAAGUGGAAGGAGGCCAGAUCUAGAGUGGGAAGGGCAUGGGAGUGCCAAGUUGGGAAUUUCUGGCUCCCCAAUUUUCUGCCCAAGAGCAUUCUGGGUUUGAAUAAGGUUGGUAGCUGCUACAUUGUAUUUGCCUCCUGGGGAUGCCUGGUGCACAUUAGCACAUUAAAGGCUCUGACAAGUUCUGCAACAAAAAACUCUGUUGUUAUUUAACCCAAACUUAGACAUUGGAUUGCUUUUCUCAAGCCAUAACAUUACUCUCAUCAUCAUUUCCAAUGCACAAUUCAUCUUUUUUAUUCCCCAUUAUGUGCCUAGAAUUGGGUUAUAUCCAAUGGUCAAAUAUUUUGGGAGGGUGCAUUAAUGAUCUUAUUAGGUCUUCAGAACAACUCUGUGAAGUGGGUACUAAUAUAAUUUCCACAUUACAAACAAGGCUCAGAGAGGCCAGGUGAUUUGCCUAAGGUCACACAGCUACUGUGUAGAGAAAUGGAAUUUGAUCUGGAGUGUGCUCACAACCUUUCCACCACCCUGCCCAUCUCCUGAAGGUGCCCCAUACUGGGAGUUCCCCUGUGGCACAGCAGGUUAAAGAUUUGGCAUUGUCUCUGCAGUGGCUUGGGUCACUGCUGUGGCGCAGGUUUGAUUCCUGGCCUGGGAACUUCCACAUGUCGUG
Molecule: long non-coding RNA, 2556 nt
Filed under: Sus scrofa (pig)
Lineage: Eukaryota; Metazoa; Chordata; Mammalia; Artiodactyla; Suidae
Description: lncRNA (ENSSSCG00000061927.1)
Source: RNAcentral